Long non-coding RNA from Homo sapiens (human), 339 nucleotides. RefSeq lists it as uncharacterized. The transcript has 2 exons. Lineage: Eukaryota; Metazoa; Chordata; Mammalia; Primates; Hominidae. The record is from RefSeq and is a predicted model, not a curated record.
GAAGUCACCUGCCUCACUGGUAUUCUCAGCCAUAUAAUAGAGAGUUUUGGUAGAGCUAUUUAAGGUGCUCCAGCUACAAAUGCAUUUUUUCAUCAUUUGUCAUCCACAAAACAGUGACCAGACAGAACACAUCCAGAAGAUAUUUGAAAGACACCUUCAGAGCCCUCUCCCCAGAAGUAGAGUGGUGAAAAAUGACAGACGGUGAUGGAGUAAGAAAAUCUCACCCUGCAGCACUUACAUUAUGACCUUAUAAUAUUUUGGUUUGUGUUUAAUUAUCUUCUUAUGCCAAUAAUCUUAUGCAUCUUAUGUUAUUUCAGAUAAUAAACUUAGACAAAAGAA